UCUGCCUCCUCCGUCCAGGUAGCACGGUGCCAAUCCAAAUCUCUUCUCUCCGCGACCACAUCGCCGCCGCCACCUCUGAUUCUGGCUAGCUCCGGCACUUGCUGCGCCGCCACUCACCGGAACGGCUACCCUCACUGCCCUCCUCCGAUCCCCCGCCAUGGUGACGUCCUUCAUGCGGCCAUGCCCCUACAUACGACCCCCAGCAACCCUAGUUGCCACAGCUCGCAAGCACCCGCGCCUCCUCCGGUUUGUCGGCCUACUGCCACACCCACGUCUGCACAUGCGCCGCUCCCGGGCCGGCCUUGGUGGGCUGCUCCGCCUCAGCAAUCUGAACUCCAACGCCAGGGCGGAUUCUUUGCCUGCCAUCGUGACGAUGAUCGACGCUACCUUGAUCGCUCAUCUUGAUCCACCGCCGUCGGUGCUGGCUUGCACCGGCAUCAAUGUCACUACACUUCUGAAAUCAGAGGAUGCCUAGCAUGACGGUAAUGAUCUGCGCAGGGUAUUGUUAAGCGGAGAGGCGGAAGACUUCAAGUGGUAGUAUCGAAACAUCAGAUCACUGGUGGGGUGUUGUCUGCUGGAAACAAUUCGCCUAGAGGGGAAAGGAUGGUCAUUGUACUGUAGGUGAGACGAUCGAGGGCGAGGCACACGUGAGUUGGGAGGAAACAGUUGCAGCUAGGUUAAAGGAAGGGCUGAGUACGAUCAAUCCAGUGUGGUUAUAGGUGUCGGGCUGUCGGCCUCAAGCUUGUUGUCAAAGACGUGCUCUUGCAGAGAACAAGAGUAAUGCUUUUAAUUAUCACCAACGCAUCAAUGCAAUGCAAGGAUACCAGAAUGUGGGUUGCUUUAGAUUUGCCUUGAGGAACUGGCGACAAAAUACACUGAAACCAGGUUUGUUAAAAUUAUCUCCACGAAUUAUAUUCCCAACUACCCAUAUAGGAUGUUGCCAAAGGGAUUUCUGUUGGUCUGUAGAAGCUCUGUGGAACAAAAUGCACACCUGUAAGUUAUAUGACACAACCAGUUUCCAUUAUCUUAGUUCAAGGUUUCUUUUUGUGAGGUUAGUUCAAGUUACUCUUCUUUAUUUAGUUGGCUGGACAAAAAAAGCAGUGUGUGGCUAUCUUAAAGUUGCAAUUACCCAAUCGCAGUACACAAUAUACAAUUUUUGUGUAUACUAUAAUCUAGAUGCCUUAACAUGACUAAUAUUUGAUCUUAGGAUGAGACUUCUCUUUUUGUACUAAGAGAGAACCAUGUUCAUUAUGACAUGCAUGUCUAUAUGUUAGAUAUAUGGUCCUAAUGUAUGUUUGGCUUACGACAUAUGGCAAAAUAAAAGAAAAAGAUUGAGGUGACAAAUUUUAAGAGUGCCUAAUAGAGUGGCAUUCUAGGAUAAGGAACAACAAGGAUUUGUCAUGAUAAUUUAUGAUACACUGAACUGAUGUGAGCCUUCCUUUGAUAAAUUAUCAAUCCCAGAAUAUUUAAGUGUUACAUGUGGCUUCCAUCUCAUGCCGAAUUUAAGUUGAUACAAAGCUGGAGGAUGGGGCUACUACAAGAUAGUUUUACAUUUACAUUAUAGAAUGUCAUUUUCAUGGUUAUAUAGGAGAUCAUGUAAUGUCUUCUUCAUUCCAUGUAAUGCAAC
Long non-coding RNA from Triticum dicoccoides, 1627 nucleotides. RefSeq lists it as uncharacterized. The record is from RefSeq and is a predicted model, not a curated record. Lineage: Eukaryota; Viridiplantae; Streptophyta; Magnoliopsida; Poales; Poaceae. The transcript has 4 exons.